RNAcentral lists this long non-coding RNA (1153 nucleotides) under Corvus moneduloides (New Caledonian crow). RNAcentral's name for it is "lncRNA (ENSCMUG00000018822.1)". The record is from RNAcentral. Lineage: Eukaryota; Metazoa; Chordata; Aves; Passeriformes; Corvidae.
UGCACCGUGGCCAUGUCAGAUGGCUUGUGCCCCAUCCUCUGCACAGCACUGGGAGGGUCCCUGGCUCCUGCCCUCAACUGCUGGGGCAUGGCAGAUGCAAACUCACAGCUUGGUCAUUGCAUUCGUGUGAAACAGCAGAUUAACCAGAAAGGUCAUCCAAGGAGACUGCUUUUUGUGUCAGAUUUGGUUUUAUGUAUCUCUAAUUUUAACAGACUAACUUAAGUCAAAAACAUGUAGAUGUCAUUACUCCUCAACAAUUCCCUUUAUCAUCCAAACUUGUAGUCUCAAGGAAGAAUCCAAGUUAGCUUGAGUCAUCUCUGAAGGCUGGUGUUGCAGGAUUAAGGGAGAGGAAUUCACUUUUUAAUUGAACCUCUUCAUGAGGUUGCAUUCACUAUGUUGCUUGAGAUUGAGACUCAGGUGUUCCUCCUUGGAAUGCUGGUGUAGUGUUAGUGCUGUGAAGCAUCUUUCCAGUCCCAGAAUGUCUUAGAAAUCAGGGUGGAAGUCCAUUCAACCCAAAUUGUUGGUGUCCUGAGUACAAUUUUGGAAAUGUAUAGCAACAUUGGAUGUCUUCUAACACCUUUCUUGGUUUCUUCAUUCAGGAGGGAUAUUGCACAUAUCCAUGAAGUGACUGAUACAGGCACUGCACAGAUGCUCAGAAAAAUGCUGAGGAGGAGAAAUUUUAAUGGAAGAGGGCUAGGAACACUGAGCCUGAACAGCUCCUUGCUCUUGAGAUUGGUGCCAUUACGUCUACUUGGGCCAAGCUCGAUGAGGUAACAUGGAAGGACAGAGUCCUGCUACCAGGUAACCCUGCCCAGUACCAGGGCUCAACUCAGGGAAGAGGCAUUUGCUCAUCCUCCUGUAUAUUGUACUAUUUACACAGCCAUCAGUUUCAUCCCAUUGCCAGCUGGGCAGGUCAUGAGGGGCAUUUUUGACACAAGGGACUCUCCCACUGGUACCAUUUAAAAAAAUGCAAUUAAUACUUUUUAAAAAAACCCCUUAAACUAAUUUCCUUUCCUGAUUCCUUUCACUGUCCUUGCAAAUACAGCAACGUUUGAUUUACCACCACCUACACAAAGAGAUCAAACCUUCACAUUUGCCUGGAUUUAACCACCUCACACAGCAGGGAAAGGGCUGCCCUCCGGCACCAUCUGGC